This is a long non-coding RNA of Magnolia sinica, 287 nucleotides long. RefSeq lists it as uncharacterized. The transcript is spliced from 3 exons. The record is from RefSeq and is a predicted model, not a curated record. NCBI's taxonomy places the organism in Eukaryota, Viridiplantae, Streptophyta, Magnoliopsida, Magnoliales, Magnoliaceae.
UGGUCAUCACAUCAAUCUUUAUGAAUAUAAUUUUUUUUUCAAACCAAAUGAAGCUUAAGCCCUUUUUUAACUCCGCCAAUGCAACUUCUUGCAUUGCCAGUCCCAAGCCCAUGUAAAGGAGGAGGGAGAAGGGCGUCAAGGAUUCAACAAUGGAACCCUUGACUUGUCAUUUAGUAGAUGGAUCUUACAAGUUUUGAAAUCCAAUGUGAUGGCUUUGCUUCAUAAGGAGGUGAAGUCUUUGGAUGAAGACAGUUGGAAGUUUGCCGGGUCCCACUCCAAAAUCCAUC